Molecule: unclassified non-coding RNA, 560 nt
Filed under: Hevea brasiliensis (rubber tree)
Lineage: Eukaryota; Viridiplantae; Streptophyta; Magnoliopsida; Malpighiales; Euphorbiaceae
Source: RNAcentral
AGGGUCUAAAAUAAUAAGCCGUUUUACAAUUAGGGCAAAGAUUCACAGCCUGAUAAGGUCCUGAACCUGCUUCAGGUUUCGAAUCAGUAGUAUUAAUACUACUAUUACUGGUACUACUGUUAUCAUCAUCAUCAUUAGAAGCAGGAGGAGGUGGAAUAAGUUGAUGAUUUCGAUUAGAGAAAAGAAGAUCCAUAUGCUUAGAACAUCGAGGACAAUAAGCUUCCGCCCUAAUCCUUCUCGGAGCAGUUCUAUACUCAUCGGAAGAACCACCACCACCACCACGGUCCCAUUUAUACCUUUCUUGCACCCCAAUUAUAGUCUCUCUCCGCUUCACAUGUAACCAAUUCACCAAAUUCCGAUACUGCAAAUUUCGAUGCUGCAAAUUCCGAUGAUGUUGCUGGUUUCGAAAAAUCAAAUUCCCAAAUGCAGUAUAUUUUACAUUUCUCCAUCUCCAUAACCCAGACAUCCUCAAUACUCUAUAACUCCGUAGUUAAUCCGAAUUCGAACAAUACAAUCAAAUCAAAUACCAUAAAUUAAAGGAUUUGGAAUUGGGAUCUGUG